RNAcentral lists this ribosomal RNA (166 nucleotides) under uncultured bacterium. RNAcentral describes it as "partial 16S rRNA". It matches the Rfam family "Bacterial small subunit ribosomal RNA", at positions 355 to 511 of the family's 1533-position model. The record is from RNAcentral.
UAGGGAAUCUUCCACAAAUCGGGCGAAAGCCUGAUGGAGCAACGCCGCGUGUGUGAUGAAGGGUUUCGGCUCGUAAAACACUGUUGUAAGAGAAGAAUGACAUUGAGAGUAACUGUUCAAUGUGUGACGGUAUCUUACCAGAAAGGAACGGCUAAAUACGUGCCAG